AGAGUUUGAUCCUGGCUCAGAACGAACGCUGGCGGCAGGCCUAACACAUGCAAGUCGAGCGCACCUUCGGGUGAGCGGCGGACGGGUUAGUAACGCGUGGGAACGUGCCCAGAUCUGCGGAAUAGCCACUGGAAACGGUGAGUAAUACCGCAUACGCCCUUCGGGGGAAAGAUUUAUCGGAUUUGGAUCGGCCCGCGUUAGAUUAGGUAGUUGGUGGGGUAACGGCCUACCAAGCCUACGAUCUAUAGCUGGUUUUAGAGGAUGAUCAGCAACACUGGGACUGAGACACGGCCCAGACUCCUACGGGAGGCAGCAGUGGGGAACCUUGGACAAUGGGCGCAAGCCUGAUCCAGCCAUGCCGCGUGAGUGAUGAAGGCCUUAGGGUCGUAAAGCUCUUUCGCCAGGGAUGAUAAUGACAGUACCUGGUAAAGAAACCCCGGCUAACUCCGUGCCAGCAGCCGCGGUAAUACGGAGGGGGUUAGCGUUGUUCGGAAUUACUGGGCGUAAAGCGCGCGUAGGCGGACCAGAAAGUUAGGGGUGAAAUCCCGGGGCUCAACCCCGGAACUGCCUCUAAAACUCCUGGUCUAGAGUUCGAGAGAGGUGAGUGGAAUUCCGAGUGUAGGGGUGAAAAUUCGUAGAUAUUCGGAGGAACACCAGUG
Molecule: ribosomal RNA, 659 nt
Filed under: uncultured Alphaproteobacteria bacterium
Lineage: Bacteria; Pseudomonadati; Pseudomonadota; Alphaproteobacteria
Description: bacterial SSU rRNA
Rfam family: Bacterial small subunit ribosomal RNA
Source: RNAcentral